GCAUAUCAAUAAGCGGAGGAAAAGAAACUAACAAGGAUUCCCCUAGUAACGGCGAGUGAAGAGGGAAGAGCCCAAGAUUGAAAGCUGGCGUCUUUGGCGUCCGCAUUGUAAUCUCAAGAAGUGUUUUUCCGCUUCGGACCAUGCCUAAGUCCCUUGGAAAAGGGCAUCAUAGAGGGUGAUAAUCCCGUACAUGGCAUGGAGCGCCCGUAGCUUUGUGAUACACUUUCUAAGAGUCGAGUUGUUUGGGAAUGCAGCUCAAAAUGGGUGGUAAAUGCCAUCUAAGGCUAAAUAUUGGGGAGAGACCGAUAGCGAACAAGUACAGUGAUGGAAAGAUGAAAAGAACUUUGAAAAGAGAGUUAAACAGUACGUGAAAUUGCCAAAAGGGAAGGGUAGGAGGUCAGAGAUGCGUCUUGGGAUUCAGCCUCGCUUCUGCUUGGUGUUUUUCCCAAGUUGCAGGCCAACGUCGGUUUUGGGCACUGGAGAAGGGUGGGAGGAACGUGGCACCCCUCGGGGUGUGUUAUAGCCUCCUACUGGAUACAGCGACCGAGACCGAGGAACGCAGCGUACUCGUAAGAGCGGGCCUUUUUUGGCACCUUUACGCUUAGGGCGUUGGCAUAAUGGCCCUCUACCACCCGUCUUGA
Molecule: ribosomal RNA, 641 nt
Filed under: Mycosarcoma pachycarpum
Lineage: Eukaryota; Fungi; Basidiomycota; Ustilaginomycetes; Ustilaginales
Description: LSU rRNA
Rfam family: Eukaryotic large subunit ribosomal RNA
Source: RNAcentral